Molecule: ribosomal RNA, 235 nt
Filed under: uncultured fungus
Lineage: Eukaryota; Fungi
Description: partial 18S ribosomal RNA
Rfam family: Eukaryotic small subunit ribosomal RNA
Source: RNAcentral
AAGAUUAAGCCAUGCAUGUCUAAGUAUAAGCAAUUAUACAGUGAAACUGCGAAUGGCUCAUUAAAUCAGUUAUCGUUUAUUUGAUAGUACCUUACUACUUGGAUAACCGUGGUAAUUCUAGAGCUAAUACAUGCUUAAAAUCCCGACUGUUUGGAAGGGAUGUAUUUAUUAGAUAAAAAAUCAAUGCGGGGCAACCCGGUUUUUUGGUGAUUCAUAAUAACUUCGCGAAUCGCAU